GGGGGCGACAUGGCUUCGACGUGGGUCGCGAAACUUGAGGUGCAUGCCGAGGUGCAGUUGCCUCGUAAAACUGACUGCAAACAAUAUAGUUGCCAACGACGACAACUACGCUCUCGCAGCUUAAUAACCUGCGUUAGAGCCCUCAGUCCGGUGCGUGCCUGUGCGCCCGGGUCGCUGGGGUCAUCCACACAGGACCGCGCAUCGGCUCGUCCGGGGCCUGAUGCGUCAAACUUAACCGGACUCGCCAUGUGUCUUCCCUGUCUGUCGGGUAGCACAUGGUUAAACCAAUAGACAGACUAAGCAUGUAGAGCCGAGAGCGGAGGACUCACGGACGCCGGUUCGAUCCCGGCCGCCUCCACCA
RNAcentral lists this transfer-messenger RNA (361 nucleotides) under Gammaproteobacteria (g-proteobacteria). Its description in RNAcentral is "J021 sp003696665 Standard tmRNA". It matches the Rfam family "transfer-messenger RNA". From Rfam's summary of the family: Bacterial tmRNA, also known as 10Sa RNA or SsrA, is named for its dual tRNA and mRNA-like properties. Its role is to liberate the mRNA from a stalled ribosome. To accomplish this part of the tmRNA is used as a reading frame that ends in a translation stop signal. The record is from RNAcentral. Lineage: Bacteria; Pseudomonadati; Pseudomonadota. RNAcentral also lists the same sequence under 1 other name.